Long non-coding RNA from Vicia villosa (hairy vetch), 1583 nucleotides. RefSeq lists it as uncharacterized. The transcript is spliced from 3 exons. NCBI's taxonomy places the organism in Eukaryota, Viridiplantae, Streptophyta, Magnoliopsida, Fabales, Fabaceae. The record is from RefSeq and is a predicted model, not a curated record.
GUUGAGAUUUAAUACACAUGGAUUUAGCAUUUGAUCAAAUGGCCAUAAUACAUUCACAUUCUCUAUUUAAGAAAACAAUGAUCAACACCUCUCACAUUGUCUUUCUCCUCUUCUAUGUUAACCGAACCUCCCUCCUCCACUCUUCAUGUUUUUCUUCUUCUUGCAUUUUACAUAUAUACCUUGUGAGAUUUGAAUGAUCUUUUAGAGAGUUUUAGUAGAUCAAUUUAAGAGAUGAUUAAAGAAAAGAUUAAAGCUUGAGGUUGAAAGUGUGAACUGGAUAGACACCUCGUCGAGAGAGACAUACCGUUCUCAUGUAGCGUAAGUUGAAUGUGUUUGACGCAUGCUAAGGCUGUUAGCAAUUGGGGAUAGUUAAGGUAUCCUGGUGUCGUGAAGACUUGCAAGAUGUGAAUGUCUUUGGCUAGGAGUUCAAGAUCAGCUUAGGGUUUUGUUUCAGAGUGUUGUCUGUGUUUGUUUGGGAAGUUUGUUGUUAAAGCUGGAUGCUUAAUUUGUGUGUGUGGUUUUGACCUUUACUUGUUGUCAAAUACUCUGUACGUAAUUAUAUUCAAGUGGUCAAAUAUUUUAUGACCUUGGGCAUUGCGCUGGGCCUAUUUAUGGAAAAGACUUAGACCAAACAGCUCGUACUCUUUUAUCAUUUUUAUUAUUCCUAAAAGGACAGUGGUCCAUAUUUUGUAAGGCAUUAAUUUUGAAAAAAAAAUACACUCGCGCUGUAAAAAAUCGGGAUGUUACAUUGUGGUAUCAGAGCUUUGGUCUAGAUUUUCUUGGGGUUGUGUGUCAUGUGUCCUAAGUUGAUCAAGUGUCGGGUUUAGUAGGAGUAAAUGUUCGGAGUCCUAUGUGUUAUAUGUUAUGUGAUUUGUGUCUUGAGUCAAGCAUGAUAUAUGCUUAGGUAAUCGAUUAUUUCUUAACUAAAGUUAAUGUACCCUAUAGUACUUCAGUAAGAAUGAUAGUUAUAACCCUAGAGCAUCAGUCGACUUUGGUCGAUAUGUGUCUCUAAAUUCUUUGGAAUUGUUGGUUUAGAAGGGACGAGAUUGAAUCAAGUAAAAAUAAAAAGGUAUUACUUUAGUAACUCUAUAUAUUAGAAGUAGUGUUUAUUCUUAUCACUUAGAGAUGUUGAGUAGGGACGAGUGGAAGUUGAGCUUAGAAAGGAUUACAAGUAAGAACCUGGACUAAGGGACCUUUUGAUAAAAAUAUUGGAUGUUCAUUUCGAUAAGUUUGGAAUGAGAUAAGAUGAAGGUUAUUAAAUAUUUAUUAGAUGACAUCUAUUUGACAGUGAAGAGUAACUAUGGAUGUCAAUUGGAAAUAAUUAGAAUCCUCGGAUAAAAAUCGAGUGUCUUCUCUAGGAAGAAAAUGGGUGUUGAGCGUUAAAAGUGAUCAAACCAGGGAAGUUAGACAACAGUUAUACUUUUGGAAGGUACCUGAAAGGUUAAAGUUAGUUUCUUAUGUUAGAUAUGUAAUUAAAUGUAUUAAGGAAGAAUCAUGUGAUGAUUAAAGGUAAGGUACAAAGUAUUACCUGGAUAAGUGAUGAUCUAUACAUAGUUUGGGAGAUAGUGAGUAAAAAGGUUUAU